Long non-coding RNA from Gambusia affinis (western mosquitofish), 1033 nucleotides. RefSeq lists it as uncharacterized. The transcript has 4 exons. Lineage: Eukaryota; Metazoa; Chordata; Actinopteri; Cyprinodontiformes; Poeciliidae. The record is from RefSeq and is a predicted model, not a curated record.
UCUUCAAUCACCACACGGGGGAGCUACAGUAUUGCCAGUCCUUCCGUCUGCAAUGCACUCAAAUGCUAGGGAAGGAGGCAACGGGUAGAUUCCCACUUUGCUUCCUGACUUGUGGUUUGCAGGCCAGUGGUACGCAGUGACAGAGUCCAGACAACAGGAAAGAAUAGAGUAACCCCCCAGGAGAGUUGGGACAUUAACUUCUGGGCUGGAGAGCACCAUGAAACAAGUGAUUGUGUUUGCUGACUACCUGCCGAAACGCAUCACUGGCAAGAGGAAAGCUAGACACUUUCUCACUUCAUCCGAAAGAACAAAGCCCCUCAGUGCUUUUCCUCCUUUUAACAGCCAGAGGCCUGUCCAAUGAUAAUAUGUCAGCUGAGGGAUAAGCCCUCAUCAAACAGCCAGGUCUAAGCUGCUGGAAAGCAGGGAGCUGAGGGGCCACCUGCAUGCUUCGCUUCAGACAGAGAUACAGACAUAAAAAGCCACGGUUUUUCAAGGCUGUAACAGUUAGUGUCCUCUACUUAAACUUGUUUUUGUGUUUCGGUAUCUUAUGUCCUGUGACCUCACACUUCUUGAUUCAAGAUUAACACUAUUACAUGGUCCUCUGACCUCGAGUGAAGCCUGGCUGCUACAAUGACUUCUUUAUUUCCACCAUCUGACCGCUGAUCACACAUACCCCACACACAUGAUCCACAUGUCCAAAAGGCAGGGGCUUUAUCUGUCUUCUGUCAUUUUAUUAACAAGUAACAAGCAUGUGAAGUGUUUGUCCUGAACUCCAUCUGAACUCCCAUGAAUUAUGAUAUCCAUCUCACAGUCAACACUAUCUGCUUUCAGCAGAGGAAUAAAGCGAUAGUGUUAGAAAAGAGAAAAACAGCAGCUCUUAUGCUUACCCAGUGAUUAUAUCACACAUCAUGGUGGUUUUACUUAUCAUUACUGGCAGAUUUGAACUUCAGUGGAUCUUUUUUAUGCUUUGUGUUGAAGGGAUGUUAAAUUGGACUUUUAUGGAGGGGAGUUGCAUAUGAAAAAAAAGCUCAAA